UGGCAUGAUUGUUGAUACCUUUGAAUAUCUCAGAAACUGUCUCAAAUGUUUACAGGGAAUAAAACAAAAAACAAAUAAAACACCAAAUUAGUGGCAGUUCUAUAGAUGCAACUUCUUCUUAAUUAGAUAACUCUGAGAAAAAUAUCCAGACCGGUAAAAGACAACCACUGUAACUGAAAUAACCACUGUUAUGGAGAAGUGCAUCUCUGAAUGCACAGUACAUUGAAC
Molecule: non-coding RNA, 228 nt
Organism: Pelobates cultripes (western spadefoot toad)
Lineage: Eukaryota; Metazoa; Chordata; Amphibia; Anura; Pelobatidae
Source: the annotation of a GenBank genome assembly